GACGAACGCUGGCGGCGCGCCUAACACAUGCAAGUCGAACGGAGCUUAGAGAGCUUGCUUUUUAAGCUUAGUGGCGAACGGGUGAGUAACGCGUGAGUAACCUGCCCUAGAGUGGGGGACAACAGUUGGAAACGACUGCUAAUACCGCAUAAGCCCACGGUACCGCAUGGUACUGAGGGAAAAGGAUUUAUUCGCUUUAGGAUGGACUCGCGUCCAAUUAGCUAGUUGGUGAGGUAACGGCCCACCAAGGCGACGAUUGGUAGCCGGACUGAGAGGUUGAACGGCCACAUUGGGACUGAGACACGGCCCAGACUCCUACGGGAGGCAGCAGUGGGGGAUAUUGCACAAUGGGGGAAACCCUGAUGCAGCGACGCCGCGUGGAGGAAGAAGGUUUUCGGAUUGUAAACUCCUGUCGUUAGGGACGAUAAUGACGGUACCUAACAAGAA
This 447-nucleotide ribosomal RNA is filed under the name uncultured bacterium. Its description in RNAcentral is "bacterial SSU rRNA". It matches the Rfam family "Bacterial small subunit ribosomal RNA", at positions 28 to 489 of the family's 1533-position model. The record is from RNAcentral.